This is a long non-coding RNA of Silurus meridionalis, 682 nucleotides long. RefSeq lists it as uncharacterized. The transcript has 3 exons. NCBI's taxonomy places the organism in Eukaryota, Metazoa, Chordata, Actinopteri, Siluriformes, Siluridae. The record is from RefSeq and is a predicted model, not a curated record.
CACCUACACUCUUGGUCCGUUAUUGUAUGUUCAUGUGUGUCUAUGCACGGUCAUGGUGGUAUGCGGCUCCCUCCCGGACUCCUCGCGCUCUCCACGGCAGCAUUUACCUUCCCCAGCGCACCUCGGACUACCAACGCUUCUCCGUCGCUGCCUCCGCGCCGCGCUUCCUCCAUAACGCACCGUGGAUAUUAUUUACGGACUGGCUUUUUCCGGAUUAUCCCGAUCUCUGAUGGACGACCUUUUCAGCUUCCUGAGGGAGAGAAAUGUUCCUGAGUCCACCAUAAAUAAAAUGAUUUAUGAUAAGUUAAUGACAGAUGAGGAGCUGAGGAACUGUUUGUCUUCUCAUAGAGAGACUGGUUGGCAGCAAUGGGGUUUUGCAGGAGGCAGGAAGAUACGCCAAGCUCUAGGGCAAAAGUGUAACGCUUACAGAGCUCGGACAUACACUUCAUACGGCUCCUCGUCUUGUAUGGUGAAGUCGGUUCCAAUGAGCUGCAGUCUGCACGGGAUUUCAUGGUGUUGGAUUAUGGAAUAAUUCUCCAACCUUCCCCUCCACAGAACUUUCUUCCUCUCAAUCACUGUCCAAUUCUUGUGUGCUUUUUCACAUUAUCUAGUUUGUAGAAUAUAAACAAAUAGAACAUGCAUGCAUCUGAAAAAUAAAAUACUCUUUUUCCCACACUUUAAA